Non-coding RNA from Lupinus albus (white lupine), 233 nucleotides. The record is from the annotation of a GenBank genome assembly. Lineage: Eukaryota; Viridiplantae; Streptophyta; Magnoliopsida; Fabales; Fabaceae.
GUUGAUGUGAAAUGAGGGUUUUAACGCUUUACUUCGGCUUUCAGGUCGUGGCGGUAGCGCAUCGGACGAUUGUGGAGAAGAGUACAUGGUAGAGUAGGGCUUUAUAUGAUCGAUACGUUAUAUGAUAAAUGUUUGUAAUAUGAAGAACGUGUUAAAGUGAAAUUAUGUAUAGGUAAAUUGCUCCUAAAUGUAUAAGGAGGAUGAUUUAAUGUUUGUAUUAAAAGUGUUCCUUA